This 253-nucleotide ribosomal RNA is filed under the name uncultured bacterium. Its description in RNAcentral is "partial 16S ribosomal RNA". It matches the Rfam family "Bacterial small subunit ribosomal RNA", at positions 524 to 776 of the family's 1533-position model. The record is from RNAcentral.
UACAGAGGUCUCAAGCGUUGUUCGGAUUCAUUGGGCGUAAAGGGUGCGCAGGCGGCGCGGUAAGUCGGGUGUGAAAUCUCGGAGCUUAACUCCGAAACUGCAUUCGAUACUGCCGUGCUUGAGGACUGGAGAGGAGACUGGAAUUUACGGUGUAGCGGUGAAAUGCGUAGAUAUCGUAAGGAAGACCAGUGGCGAAGGCGGGUCUCUGGGCAUUACCUGACGCUGAGGAGCGAAAGUGUGGGGAGCGAACAGG